This 301-nucleotide ribosomal RNA is filed under the name uncultured bacterium. RNAcentral describes it as "partial 16S ribosomal RNA". It matches the Rfam family "Bacterial small subunit ribosomal RNA", at positions 509 to 809 of the family's 1533-position model. The record is from RNAcentral.
CAGCAGCCACGGUAAUACAGAGGGUGCGAGCGUUAAUCGGAUUUACUGGGCGUAAAGCGUGCGUAGGCGGCUUCUUAAGUCGGAUGUGAAAUCCCUGAGCUUAACUUAGGAAUUGCAUUCGAUACUGGGAAGCUAGAGUAUGGGAGAGGAUGGUAGAAUUCCAGGUGUAGCGGUGAAAUGCGUAGAGAUCUGGAGGAAUACCGAUGGCGAAGGCAGCCAUCUGGCCUAAUACUGACGCUGAGGUACGAAAGCAUGGGGAGCAAACAGGAUUAGAUACCCGCGUAGUCCCUGUCUCUUAUAU